RNAcentral lists this long non-coding RNA (1291 nucleotides) under Chloebia gouldiae (Gouldian finch). RNAcentral's name for it is "Erythrura gouldiae (Gouldian finch) lncRNA (ENSEGOG00005002915.1)". The record is from RNAcentral. Lineage: Eukaryota; Metazoa; Chordata; Aves; Passeriformes; Passeridae.
GUUUAUUAGGGGUUUUUUCCCUGCCCUUUUAAAAAGAUGAAAGCCCCUAAAAGCUUUUUUCCGUGCAAGUGAUGGUUGAAGUUAAUGAAGUAAGCAUCUGUUAGGUGAGAGAAGGUCACCCUGGGGUUGGGCACCUCCCCGUGGUGGGACUGGCAUUCACCCAGCGAUUAGUAUGUGAUGACAACACCUUAAAGAUAAUUAGUUGACAAUGAGUUGAGAGCCUGUUAACCCCUUUAACACCUUAUAGUUUAUGAUUAGAAUGAAACACUCCAAGACAAAACAAAAUAGAUGUAGUUUUCCUUGAGUGAUUUACCAUUUUUUCGGUGUUUUCGCGUAUCAUUUUUGUGAUCUUCUGCCAAAGGAGGAAACAGCUGCCAGGAGCCCAGAGCACAAUUCUUCAUCUUCAUCAGUCUGGGCUGAAACGCAGUCCCAGUUUUCUGUGCACUUUCCUCCACUGGCUGUGAGUUUAAGACGCUUUGGGCUGGGGUGGGAGCCCUUGCUGGGGCAGAGCCAUGAGAACUGAGAUGUGGAUUAGUGGCAUUUCUCAAUGGCUGAAAUGUCAAGCUCAAUGGGUUUUUCCAGGUGUUUUUUCACACUGAUGUGAACACAUCCCUGCAAUGCUAAUGGAAGCCACUGGAUUUGACUCACCUGAGUGUUGCAGAUGGGCUUUCCCCAGAAACAAGGAUUACUUGGCAGAACAAGAGAGAAACUUUUGUAAAUGAAGCUGUAAGAAAGGCAGGAUGAGGACACAUGUGAGUGACCCAGAGAACAAGGGCUGGUCUUGCUUUCAUGAGGUUUAGCACAGGACUUCCAUUGAUUUCAGCAGGAACAAGCUUUGUGUUUGGACCAUCAUGGAGCAGAGCCACGGAGCCUGGGACACCUUAAGCAGCUUCUCCCAAGACCUCAGAAGAGACAUCACAGAGCUGAGCUCCCUGAGCUGAACCCAAGUCCCAAGCCAAGCCUGCAUCUUUCCACUUUCCCAGGGCUCCUCACAUUCCGUAUCACAAACCACUUUUUAAAAGUUUAUGAGUUUGCCUUCAAAGACUUUGGAUGCAUCAGGAUUUCAGGUAGGUACAACACACUGGACAAAUGACACCACCAGACUCUCUUUAUCAAUAGAUAAUUGAUAUCAAUUUUCAAGCUGAAAGUCAUCUCUUUAAAUGAGUAUAAGCCUUUUCUUGCUCUAAGGGCAGGGCUUUUAUCUUCCUGCCUUUUGUAUCCACCACUAUUUUUCCAGAUCCAAUAAGAAAAGCCCACCUGAAUCCACUACAGCGUUCAAAAUGAUUGAAUU